AUUGAACGCUGGCGGCAGGCUUAACACAUGCAAGUCGAGCGAGCCGCGGACGGGUGAGUAAUGUCUGGGAAACUGCCUGAUGGAGGGGGAUAACCACUGGAAACUGUAGCCAAUACCGCAUACCAUCAGGUUUCCCCAGAUGGGAUUCGCGAGUAGGUGGGCGAGUGGCUCACCUAGGCGACGAUCCCUAGCUGGUCUGAGAGGAUGACCAGCAAUACUGGAACUGAGACACGGUCCAGACUCCUACGGGAGGCAGCAGUGGGGAAUAUUGCACAAUGGGCGCAAGCCUGAUGCAGCCAUGCCGCGUGUGUGAAGAAGGCCUUCGGGUUGUAAAGCACUUUCAGCGAGGAGGCGUUACUCGCAGAAGAAGCACCGGCUAACUCCGUGCCAGCAGCCGCGGUAAUAC
RNAcentral lists this ribosomal RNA (406 nucleotides) under uncultured bacterium. RNAcentral's name for it is "partial 16S ribosomal RNA". It matches the Rfam family "Bacterial small subunit ribosomal RNA", at positions 30 to 526 of the family's 1533-position model. The record is from RNAcentral.